AUCACUUGUCGGACUUUUGGCUAAGAUCAAGUGUAGUAUCUGUUCUUAUCAGUUUAAUAUUUACAGAAUUUCCAUCUGGGAAUCAAUAAAGUCUGUCUAAGUCUAAAAUGUUGUUAUUGCAUAAAUUCCAAAGACUCUUC
RNAcentral lists this small nuclear RNA (140 nucleotides) under Amphiprion percula (orange clownfish). RNAcentral's name for it is "U2 spliceosomal RNA (ENSAPEG00000023621.1)". The stretch from base 1 to 106 matches the Rfam family "U2 spliceosomal RNA". From Rfam's summary of the family: U2 is a small nuclear RNA (snRNA) component of the spliceosome (involved in pre-mRNA splicing). Complementary binding between U2 snRNA (in an area lying towards the 5' end but 3' to hairpin I) and the branchpoint sequence (BPS) of the intron results the bulging out of an unpaired adenosine, on the BPS, which initiates a nucleophilic attack at the intronic 5' splice site, thus starting the first of two transesterification reactions that mediate splicing. Lineage: Eukaryota; Metazoa; Chordata; Actinopteri; Pomacentridae. The record is from RNAcentral.